Molecule: long non-coding RNA, 1112 nt
Filed under: Mytilus galloprovincialis (Mediterranean mussel)
Lineage: Eukaryota; Metazoa; Mollusca; Bivalvia; Mytilida; Mytilidae
Source: RNAcentral
UUAUUGAUUUUUUUCCUCAUUGUUGUUGAGCCUGCGAUUUACAGCAAAAAUAGGCGAGACACUGGGUUCCACGGAACCCUUACAAAUUUUUUUCUCAAUAAAAAUUUAACUAGAAACUUCAGCUUCGACUUUUUGCCAUACACCUUUAUACAAUAUACAGUAUUAGCAGAUUAUAAAUAUGAAUUGGAUAUCUUAUGACUGCUUUGCCUGUUCUUACUUAUCCAUGUAAGUUAUUGCUGCAAAAUACAAAUUUGCUUUAAGUCAGCUUUAUUGUUGUUUAAGAAAAUUGCUUACAAGAUGCAUAAUGAUAAAUUAAGAUUUACAUUAAUUGCCUGUAUAAAUGCUUUAUAAGUUUGAACAAGAAUUUUAUUGUUAGCUAUUGUUUACAAAUACAAUGAACCUGAUAUGUUCAGGAAUUGUUGAAAAUAAUGGUAAAAAUGUAAACAAGGUUGUGUCAGUGUAUGUAUUGUAUUUCUGUUGUAAAUGCACAGAACUUUUGUGAAAUUUUUGUACACAGCUGGUUUGCAUUUUUGUUGAUAGAAGAUAUUUUGUACCAAUCCAUUUUUGAGUAGCUAUUUUUGAAAAAUUGAUUCAUUAGCAUGUAAAGUGAUUGUUUUGUAUAUGUUCAUAAUUAUUUAAUGAAAAUAAUUGUCAUUUGCAUAUGUUUAUAUGAGCUUUAAAGGGAAGACUGCAGUAUCUGUAUUUCAUUACAUUUUGAAUAUUGAUCUUUUUUGUAUGCUAAAUAUAUUUAUCAUAUUUGAUUUCUCUACAAUUAAUCUGACCUUGAACUACCAAUUAAUUGACCUUGAACUACAAUUAAUCGACCUUGAAAAGAGCUAUUAGUGACUGACUCUUUGUUAUUUAGCUGUAAACCUAACAAACUUUUCAUAUAGUUAUGUAACACUUUUAUCAGUACACAACACCAAAUAACUAAUUUCUGUAUAUUGUUGAUCUUAAAAAUUUCUUUAAAAAGAUAUACAUAGUAACUCAAAUGUUUAAAUGGUACCUGAAUCUCAUAUUUUGAAUAAGAAAAUAUACCCUUAUUUGAAUCAAUUUUAAGUCCGUGUAUGUAUUGAAUUCUCCACUGUUUUUCUACCCUAGCUUGAAUAAAC